AAGGGGUCGAGGUGCUAGAAAGUGUUUGGCGUCGUGAAGGAAAUACCUGCCAACGUAGAGAAGGGUCGACGGGAUCUUGGAAUUGAUGAGGUGAUACCUUCCUUUACUCUUGGGAAACUGCAGUCUGCGGAUGAAGCUUGUCCUGGCAAGGGCACCUGGAGCCACUCCUAAUAAACUCCUGGAAUAUCUCCUCAAAGUUUGGGAAAAAAUGAUGCCUACAGUAAAUGAGGUGGAGAUGAUGGAAAUUCCUCGUCAGAGGAAGGGAUCAAAGGCUCAGAAAGGCAGGCCUGUUAGAACUGACUUAUUUGUGCAACACCAAAGAAUCACCAGAUGACUAUGUUUCUCAGGAAGGGCCUCCCCAAAGCCUGGGAUCCAUGACCACUAUGCUAAGAACUCCUGGAUGAAAAUCUUCCUUACAGAAUGUUCACAGUGGAAAAUAAAUGGCAGGGAAGCUUGGAUACCGUGGACAUCUGAAGUGACCAAGGACCACCAGGUGGCAGCAGAGUCUCAACUAAACUGUCCACCAACUUGGGCACCAAGUCAGCUCCUCGACCACAGCAGAUGACCUCACAUCCUCCUUUGUCUGGAAGACUGGGACCAUCCAUCCAGUCCUCCUCUGCAGGCCCUCUCCGCUGUAGACAGAGCACAAGACCUACAGAGUCCUCCAUGGUACAUUUCUUGAGCUGAAUGGGAAAGACAUCAGAAAUUUCAUCCUUUUCAAGGCAAAGUAAGAAAACAGAUAGCCUACAUCUCAUCUCAGAAUCAACUUACUACUCUGAAUGAUAUGUUACUCUCUUAGUCAGCUCGGGCUGACAAAAUAACACAGCCUGGGUGGCUUAAUCAAUAGACAUUUAUCCUCACGGUUCUGGAGGCCAGGAAGUCCAAGGUCAAGGUGCCAGCCAAUUCGGUUGCUGGUGAACAUCUUCUUCCUGGUUUGCAGACAGCCACCUUCUCCUUAUGUUCUUAUGUGGUUUUUCCUUGGGUGCAUACAGAGCGAGAAAGAGGUCUCUCUCUCUCCUCUUCUUAUAAGGCCACCAAUCCCAUCAUGAGGGCUUCACCUUCAUGAUCUAAUCUAACUCCUAUGGCCUCAUCUACAAAUACCAUCACAUUGGGGAUUAGGGUCUCGGCAUAUGAAUUUGGGGGACACAAAUAUUUAGUCCAGAACAGUUACAAAUGUUGAUGGCUAGAGUGUUUCCUAACUUAGUACUGGGGUGGCAGCUCUUACAAAUCUCAUCUGCAAAGACAGUGCUUUCAAACUUUUCAUUGAAAAAUUCACAAACUAACAUAAAAUCUAUUCUGUCCAAUUUUAAUUGACCUUGUUCUUCCUGUGCAAUGAUUUCUGAUUCAUUUAUUCAGUCAUUCAAUUAGUGAAUACUUAACUGACUUGAGCCAAGACUCCUAACUACUACCUACUGCCAAGUACAGACAUGUGAUGAUGAAGCACAUUUGUGGCAGAUAAAGAAUAUUUGACAAGAAGAAUCAUUCAUCCAGAACUUGUCAGACUCCCCCUUCAGCACUAUGGAAAGAGAAUCAAAUCACUGGCCCACAGGCAUAGGCCAGUGUGCUCAGCUGGGUGCUCAGUCAAGAGGUAAGUGCCUCAGGCUAAAGUUUUUUAUAAUCUUAAUAACUAUAAAGUUAUUAUAAUUGCUCCCGAUAUUCAAGUAGUUUUCAAAGGCUUUCUAUCUAAUGAAAAGAUAAUGUGUGACUAGCAGAUACAUGUAUGUUCUAGACUGCAUGAUGGGUACCUCUCUCAGAGCAGUCACUUAGAAUCCUGCCCCAUUUAUCUGUUUGUUAUGAACUAGAUUAUUAUGGAUUAUCCCAACUCAGAUCACUCCUGAGUAAACUAACAAAGAUGAACUUUUAAAUAUGCAACACUGUAGACUAGACCUUGGCUUCAAAAUGACCUCACCAAUGCGCUGGCUGGCAUCCUCGAAGGUUCAGCUUGAUCCUUCUUGUCUCUUAAAGCUAUCAGUACUAAAUUAAAGACA
Balaenoptera musculus (blue whale) is the source of this 1988-nucleotide long non-coding RNA. RefSeq lists it as uncharacterized. NCBI's taxonomy places the organism in Eukaryota, Metazoa, Chordata, Mammalia, Artiodactyla, Balaenopteridae. The record is from RefSeq and is a predicted model, not a curated record. The transcript is spliced from 5 exons.